AGAUUGAACGCUGGCGGCAUGCCUUACACAUGCAAGUCGAACGGCAGCACGGGAGCAAUCCUGGUGGCGAGUGGCGAACGGGUGAGUAAUACAUCGGAACGUGCCCAGUUGUGGGGGAUAGCCCGGCGAAAGCCGGAUUAAUACCGCAUACGACCUACGGGUGAAAGCGGGGGCUCGCAAGACCUCGCGCUAUUGGAGCGGCCGAUGUCGGAUUAGCUUGGUUGGUGGGGUAAAAGCCUAACCAAGGCUACGAUCCGUAGCUGGUCUGAGAGGACGACAGCCACACUGGGACUGAGACACGGCCCAGACUCCGUACGGGAGGCAGCGAGUAGGGAAUUUUGGAACAAGUGGGGCGACAAAGCCGUGAACUCCAAGG
RNAcentral lists this ribosomal RNA (376 nucleotides) under uncultured soil bacterium. Its description in RNAcentral is "bacterial SSU rRNA". It matches the Rfam family "Bacterial small subunit ribosomal RNA", at positions 26 to 411 of the family's 1533-position model. The record is from RNAcentral.